AGUGAACGCUGGCGGCGUGCUUAACACAUGCAAGUCGAACGAGAACGGAUUAUAGCUUGCUAUAAUUGUCAGCUAAGUGGCGCACGGGUGAGUAAUGUAUAGGUAAUAUGCCUCUUACUAAGGGAUAACAAAUGGAAACGUUUGCUAAUACCUUAUACUCCUUAUUAACAGAAGUUAAUAAGGGAAAGAUUUAUUGGUAAGAGAUUAGCCUGUAUUGUAUCAGUUAGUUGGUGGGGUAAUGGCUUACCAAGACUAUGACACAUAACUGGUUUGAGAGGAUGAUCAGUCACACUGGAACUGAGACACGGUCCAGACUCCUACGGGAGGCAGCAGUGGGGAAUAUUGCACAAUGGACGAAAGUCUGAUGCAGCAACGCCGCGUGGAGGAUGACACAUUUCGGUGCGUAAACUCCUUUUAUAUGAGAAGAUAAUGACGGUAUUAUAUGAAUAAGCACCGGCUAACUCCGUGCCAGCAGCCGCGGUAAAGUAG
This 489-nucleotide ribosomal RNA is filed under the name uncultured bacterium. RNAcentral's name for it is "bacterial SSU rRNA". It matches the Rfam family "Bacterial small subunit ribosomal RNA", at positions 29 to 528 of the family's 1533-position model. The record is from RNAcentral.